RNAcentral lists this ribosomal RNA (84 nucleotides) under Tinospora crispa. RNAcentral describes it as "partial 5.8S ribosomal RNA". It matches the Rfam family "5.8S ribosomal RNA", at positions 73 to 154 of the family's 154-position model. From Rfam's summary of the family: 5.8S ribosomal RNA (5.8S rRNA) is a component of the large subunit of the eukaryotic ribosome. The record is from RNAcentral. RNAcentral also lists the same sequence under 1 other name. Lineage: Eukaryota; Viridiplantae; Streptophyta; Magnoliopsida; Ranunculales; Menispermaceae.
UGCAGAAUCCCGUGAACCAUUGAGUUUUUGAACGCAAGUUGCGCCCGAGGCCAUUCGGUCGAGGGCACGUCUGCCUGGGCGUCA